This 468-nucleotide ribosomal RNA is filed under the name uncultured bacterium. Its description in RNAcentral is "partial 16S ribosomal RNA". It matches the Rfam family "Bacterial small subunit ribosomal RNA", at positions 28 to 507 of the family's 1533-position model. The record is from RNAcentral.
GACGAACGCUGGCGGCGUGCUUAAUACAUGCAAGUCGAACGGAAAGGCCCUGCGUUUGUGGGGUGCUCGAGUGGCGAACGGGGGAGUAACACGUGAGUAACAUGCCCUUGACUUUGGGAUAACUUCAGGAAACUGGGGCUAAUACCGGAUAGGAGCUACUGCUGCAUGGUGGGGGUUGGAAAAUUUCGGCGGUUGGGGAUGGACUAGCGGCUUAUCAGCUUGUUUGUGGGGUAGUGGCUUACAAAGGCUUUGACGGGUAGGCUGCCUGAGAGGGUGAACGGCGACAUGGCGACUGAGAGACGGCCCAGACUGCUACGGGAGGCAGCAGUGGGGAAUAUUGCACAAUGGGCGGAAGCCUGAUGCAGCAACGCCGCGUGCGGGAUGACGGCCUUCGGGUGGUAAACCAAUGUCGCCUGAGAUGAAGCGUGAUUGACGGUAAUGGAUAAAAAAGCACCGGCUAACUACGUG